RNAcentral lists this ribosomal RNA (296 nucleotides) under uncultured Anaerolineaceae bacterium. RNAcentral's name for it is "partial 16S ribosomal RNA". It matches the Rfam family "Bacterial small subunit ribosomal RNA", at positions 1074 to 1378 of the family's 1533-position model. Lineage: Bacteria; Bacillati; Chloroflexota; Anaerolineae; Anaerolineales; Anaerolineaceae. The record is from RNAcentral.
UUCGGUUAAGUCCGCUAACGAGCGCAACCCUCGCUGUGUGUUACAAGUGUCACACGGAACUGCCGGUCAUAAACCGGAGGAAGGUGGGGAUGACGUCAAGUCAGCAUGGCCUUUAUAUCCUGGGCUACACACACGCUACAAUGGGAAGGGACAAUAGGUUGCGAAGCCGCGAGGCGGAGCCAAUCCAGCAAAACUUCCCUCAGUUCAGAUUGCAGGCUGCAACUCGCCUGCAUGAAGUUGGAGUUGCUAGUAAACGCAGGUCAGCCAUACUGCGUUGAAUACGUUCCCGGGGGCUU